UUUCCGGUUGAUCCUGCCGGACCUGACUGCUAUCGGAUUGAUACUAAGCCAUGCGAGUCUUUGUAGUAAUACAAGGCAUACGGCUCAGUAACGCGUAGUCAACCUACCCUAUGGACAAGAAUAAUCUCGGGAAACUGAGCAUAAUUCUUGAUAGAUCAUAAUGCCUGGAAUGGUUUAUGGUUAAAAUGAUUCGUCGCCAUAGGAUGGGACUGCGGCCUAUCAGCUUGUUGGUGAGGUAAUGGCCCACCAAGGCGAUUACAGGUACGGGCUCUGAGAGGAGAAGCCCGGAGAUGGGUACUGAGACAAGGACCCAGGCCCUAUGGGGCGCAGCAGGCGAGAAAACUUUGCAAUGUGCGAAAGCACGACAAGGUUAGUCCGAGUGAUUUCUGCUAAAGAGAUCUUUUGCUAGUUAUAAAACCACUAGUGAAUAAGGGGUGGGCAAGUUCUGGUGUCAGCCGCCGCGGUAAAACCAGCACCUCAAGUGGUCAGGAUGAUUAUUGGGCCUAAAGCAUCCGUAGCCGGCUCUGUAAGUUUUCGGUUAAAUCUAUGCGCUCAACGUAUGGGCUGCCGAAAAUACUGUAGAGAUAGGGAGUGGGAGAGGUAGACGGUACUCGGUAGGAAGGGGUAAAAUCCUUUGAUCUAUCGAUGACCACCUGUGGCGAAGGCGGUCUACCAGAACACGUUCGACGGUGAGGGAUGAAAGCUGGGGGAGCAAACCGGAUUAGAUACCCGGGUAGUCCCAGCCGUAAACGAUGCAGACUCGAUGAUGCGUUGGCAUAUAGCCAGUGCAGUGUCGCAGGGAAGCCGUUAAGUCUGCCGCCUGGGAAGUACGUACGCGAGUAUGAAACUUAAAGGAAUUGGCGGGGGAGCACCACAAGGGGUGAAGCCUGCGGUUCAAUUGGAUUCAACGCCGGA
This 915-nucleotide ribosomal RNA is filed under the name uncultured archaeon. RNAcentral describes it as "SSU rRNA". It matches the Rfam family "Archaeal small subunit ribosomal RNA", at positions 1 to 922 of the family's 1478-position model. The record is from RNAcentral.